Molecule: long non-coding RNA, 415 nt
Organism: Megalobrama amblycephala (Wuchang bream)
Lineage: Eukaryota; Metazoa; Chordata; Actinopteri; Cypriniformes; Xenocyprididae
Exons: 2
Source: RefSeq, a predicted model, not a curated record
UCUCUUUUCAGACUUUUAAUAUCUGAUUUCAGUGACUUAAUCACUUUUUCCAAUUCUUUAACUACUUUCCUAGUAUAUUCAUAUCCUUCUUGAAACAGUAUUUGCUUCCCUGUUUUAGACCAUCCUUCUGUACUAGCAACUCUCCGUGCCGAUGGGGAGCGACUGGCUGACCUCAUUUGUCCGGCCAUCCCAUUGAGGAGCAGAUGGAUGAGAGGAUCCUGGCUGUUUUUGUUCAUUUCUCCGUUUAAGAAUUUUUUCCAAUUCUUCUCGAUUUGCAUUAGACAUUAAUAAAUUUAUUGUUACCUGACCUUCCUGAGACAUAUCUGUGAUACCUGAUAUUAUUCCUUCUAUUACUGAUGUUACAGGAUGUUUAAAUUGCCCAGUUCCCAUUAAAGUCAUAUGUAUCUGACUUUCA